CCCAGGUGUGCCAGGUGUUCCAGGUGCUCAGGGGGUGCCCGGCCGUGCCCGGCUGUGCCCAGGUGUGCUGGUCUCAGUCGGUGCCCGGCCGUGCCCAGGUGCUCAGUUGGUGCCCGGCUGUGCCCGGCUGUGCCCAGGUGCUCAGUUGGUGCCCGGCUGUGUUCAGGUGUUCAGUUGGUGCCCGGCCGUGCCCAGGUGUGCCAGGUGCUCAGUUGGUGCCCGGCCGUGCCCGGCCGUGCCCGCGCCGGGCGAAGCGGAAGCUCUGCAGGGGGUUCCCGGAGCCGCGCGGCU
Vidua chalybeata is the source of this 291-nucleotide long non-coding RNA. RefSeq lists it as uncharacterized. Lineage: Eukaryota; Metazoa; Chordata; Aves; Passeriformes; Viduidae. The record is from RefSeq and is a predicted model, not a curated record. The transcript has 4 exons.